RNAcentral lists this small nuclear RNA (305 nucleotides) under Erinaceus europaeus (western European hedgehog). RNAcentral's name for it is "7SK RNA". It matches the Rfam family "7SK RNA". Rfam says of the family: 7SK was discovered as an abundant small nuclear RNA in the mid-70s but a possible function has only recently been suggested. Two independent studies have found that 7SK RNA binds the CDK9/cyclin T complex (known as elongation factor P-TEFb). Lineage: Eukaryota; Metazoa; Chordata; Mammalia; Eulipotyphla; Erinaceidae. The record is from Rfam by way of RNAcentral.
GGAUGUGAGGGUGAUCUGGCUGCAACAUCUGUCACUCCAUUGAUCGCCAGAGUUGAUUUGGCUGAUCUGGCUGGCUAGGUGGGUGUCCCCUUCCUCCCUCACCUCUCCAUGUGCGUCCCUCCCGGCCAUAAGUGGAAGAGGAAGGCCUUCUCUGAAUAGAGACUGACCAGUUUUCGGUCAAGGGUAUAUGAGUAGCUGUGCUCCCCUUCUAGAACAUCCAAACAAGCUCUCAAGGAAAGCUAUCGGGGAGGGGAGGGGAUACAGAGUUCUGGUGGUGGGAAUUGUGUGGAGUUGUACCCCUCUUA